CCUACGGGAGGCAGCAGUGAGGAAUAGGGGGCAAUGGACGAGAGUCGGAACCAGCCAAGGAGCGUGAAGGAUGACUGCCCGAUGGGUUGUAAACUUCUGUUAUAGGGGAAUAAAAUGUGCCACGUGUGGGAUUUUGUAUGUACCAUAUGAAUAAGGAUCGGCUAACGCCGUGCCAGCAGCCGCGGGAAUACGGAGGAUCCGAGCGUUAUCCGGAUUUAUUGGGUUGAAAGGGAGCGUAGGUGGAUUGUUAAGUCAGUUGUGAAAGUUUGCGGCUCAACCGUAAAAUUGCAGUUGAAACGGGCAGUCUUGCGUACAGUAGAGUUGGGCGGCCUUCGUGGUGUAGC
RNAcentral lists this ribosomal RNA (344 nucleotides) under uncultured bacterium. RNAcentral's name for it is "partial 16S ribosomal RNA". It matches the Rfam family "Bacterial small subunit ribosomal RNA", at positions 338 to 679 of the family's 1533-position model. The record is from RNAcentral.